Molecule: ribosomal RNA, 253 nt
Filed under: uncultured bacterium
Lineage: Bacteria
Description: partial 16S ribosomal RNA
Rfam family: Bacterial small subunit ribosomal RNA
Source: RNAcentral
CACGUGGGGUGCGAGCGUUGUCCGGAAUUAUUGGGCGUAAAGAGCUUGUAGGCGGUUUGUCGCGUCUGCUGUGAAAAUCCGGGGCUCAACCCCGGACUUGCAGUGGGUACGGGCAGACUAGAGUGUGGUAGGGGAGACUGGAAUUCCUGGUGUAGCGGUGAAAUGCGCAGAUAUCAGGAGGAACACCGAUGGCGAAGGCAGGUCUCUGGGCCACUACUGACGCUGAGAAGCGAAAGCAUGGGGAGCGAACAGG